AUGGACCAUUAUACUAGCAAGAGGAAGUAUUCACCAGUUCCCUUGUCACAGUUGACACAGAUGGCUGAUCUCGAUCAAUCACCAUCACCUACUAUGCCGGUUACCAAUGAGUCGGAUAUGCGGUUUACUUUAGAUGAAGAACUUGAGGAAACCAACUUGGAUUCUCCCCCGCAUCUAUCUACACCUAUUCAGCAUGUGCAAGCCCCUCCAAGAUCCACACAAACGGAGAAACAUGACACUAGGCGUGGGAAAAAACAGAAGCGUAGUGCUACUGAUGACUUCCAUGAGAAGUAUUUAAAACUGAAGAAGGAAGAAAUUGAUCGAUUUGCUGCCAUUGAGGAGAAGAAGCUAGAGGACCCCUACAGCAUCAACAAGUGUAUCACAGCAAUUGAAGGCUUGGAAGGUCUACAACUAGGAGAUAUGUUGAUGGCAUCAGAUAUCUUCAAAUGUAAGGAGAACAGGGAAGUUUUCUUGUCCUACUCUACUAAUGAACUACGGUUGGCUUGGCUUAAAAGAGAGAUUGCACGUGCCCAAACAAAUGAUCAAAAUUAG
RNAcentral lists this ribosomal RNA (552 nucleotides) under Triticum aestivum (bread wheat). RNAcentral describes it as "partial small subunit ribosomal RNA". Lineage: Eukaryota; Viridiplantae; Streptophyta; Magnoliopsida; Poales; Poaceae. The record is from RNAcentral.